This 259-nucleotide long non-coding RNA is filed under the name Homo sapiens (human). RNAcentral's name for it is "long non-coding RNA NONHSAT225432". Lineage: Eukaryota; Metazoa; Chordata; Mammalia; Primates; Hominidae. The record is from RNAcentral.
AGAGGCAUAACGUACAUCAUAAUGCUGCAUCUUGUUGACGCUUCAAUGCUCACAAUUCAAAGGUGAUUUCUGAAGCACUUUGUUACACUGGGGACAGCUCCUAAAUCCUCCCACUCUUUUUUUGCCUCACCUUGGAGUCUUGGGCUCUGUUGAUCACUGACUCUGCCAGGUCUUUCAGCAGGCAAGACAGCUCAGUUAAAUUGAGUUUGGACUCCACUGUAGUGCAUGCAUGAGACAGCACCCCCAAUCCCCAACACCC